AUGAGGAACUUGAAAGAUAAAAGAACCAAGAUUUUUCCCUCAACUAUGAGGGGAGGUAAGGAACUGUCAUCUAGCUUUGCACUUGAUUCACCUUUUGUUAUGAGUAAAUUUGCGACACCUACACCUGCACCUGCUAUUGAUUCUGAUAUGUCGCAUGUUACUGAUGAUGCCACUUCUGCUAUGCAUGAUGCUUAUGAUGAAACUACUUCUAUGCUUGAUAAUACUGUGCCAUUAGGUGAAUUUCUUGAUGAACAACUUGCUAAGGUUAGAGAGAAUGAAAUUAUUGAAACUGAUAAUAUUGAUGAAAGUGAUGAUGAAGAUUCUCCCCCUAGAUAUGAAUUGCCUGAUGUACCUGACGAUUAUGUUAUGGAUGAAGAAACUGCUAGAGACCUUUUUGCUUGCAAAUAUAGAUAUGAUCUUAAGAAACUGUUAGCUAAGCUGAAAGAAAAGUCUUUGAAUGCUAGAAUGAAAUAUGACCUUGCUUUUGCUACUUCACAUAUCUGUGUUACUGAUAAGGAUUAUGAUUUCUCUGUCAAUCCCUAG
Molecule: ribosomal RNA, 543 nt
Filed under: Triticum aestivum (bread wheat)
Lineage: Eukaryota; Viridiplantae; Streptophyta; Magnoliopsida; Poales; Poaceae
Description: partial small subunit ribosomal RNA
Source: RNAcentral